AAAAAAUUUGUAGCAAAUCAUUUGACAAUUCAUUUCACCACCUAUAAAAUAAGGUGUUUGGCCUAGAAUAUCUCUAAGGUUCCUUAUAAUCUAAUAUGGCAUAUUUUGCUUUGUUUUUUUUUUUUGCAUAUUUUGCUUUGAAUGAUGAAUUAUUAUUUGCUCAGUCACUAGACAAUGAUUUUAGUAUUUACGCUCUGGCCAUUGUGCCAUCACUGGACAUAGAGUGGGGAACAGGAAAAAUAUGAUUGUUCAUUCACCUAGUUUAUUGUCAAUUGGAGAAAUCAAGGGUGGGCACUGCUUGCUAUAACCAAUCAACUGCACAAAAAUGAUGAACAUGUACCUGUUAGGACAAAGACAGUUUUCUCUGCUCGAGACAGAUAAGCUCCAUUUUUGUUGUUGUUAAAGUAAUAAGGCUUUCCCUGUUACUUUGCAAAACAAUUGGAGAUCUAACUCAGAACGCUUCAAUGAAGUCCUGAAUUCCCUGAAAUCAGAUGGCCGCUAGUCACUCCCAGGAUGCUGGAAUGGUAUUAAAAUAUUGCCUCUUGGCCGGGUGCAGUGGCUCAUGCUGUAAUCCCAGCACUUUGGGAGCCCACGGCGGGUGGAUCACUUGAGGUCGGUAGUUCAAGACCAGCCUGGGCAACAUGGUGAAACCCCAUCUCUACUAGAAAUACAAAAAUUAGCCAGGAGUGGUGGCACAGGCCUGUAAUCCCAAUGGGAGGCUAAAGCAGGAGAAUCGCUUGAACCCGG
RNAcentral lists this long non-coding RNA (747 nucleotides) under Homo sapiens (human). Its description in RNAcentral is "HSALNT0025406". The record is from RNAcentral. Lineage: Eukaryota; Metazoa; Chordata; Mammalia; Primates; Hominidae.